AAGUCGAACGAGCCCUUCGGGGUUAGUGGCGCACGGGUGCGUAACGCGUGGGAACCUGCCUUUAGGUUCGGAAUAACUCAGAGAAAUUUGAGCUAAUACCGGAUAAUGUCUUCGGACCAAAGAUUUAUCGCCUUUAGAUGGGCCCGCGUUAGAUUAGAUAGUUGGUGGGGUAAUGGCCUACCAAGUCGACGAUCUAUAGCUGGUCUGAGAGGAUGAUCAGCCACACUGGGACUGAGACACGGCCCAGACUCCUACGGGAGGCAGCAGUGGGGAAUAUUGGACAAUGGGCGAAAGCCUGAUCCAGCAAUGCCGCGUGAGUGAUGAAGGCCUUAGGGUUGUAAAGCUCUUUUACCAGGGAUGAUAAUGACAGUACCUGGAGAAUAAGCUCCGGCUAACUCCGUGCCAGCAGCCGCGGUAAUACGGAGGGAGCUAGCGUUGUUCGGAAUUACUGGGCGUAAAGCGCGCGUAGGCGGCGAUCCAAGUCAGGGGUGAAAUCCCGGGGCUCAACCCCGGAACUGCCCUUGAAACUAGGUUGCUAGAAUCCUGGAGAGGCGAGUGGAAUUCCGAGUGUAGAGGUGAAAUUCGUAGAUAUUCGGAAGAACACCAGUGGCGAA
This 614-nucleotide ribosomal RNA is filed under the name uncultured Erythrobacter sp. RNAcentral's name for it is "bacterial SSU rRNA". It matches the Rfam family "Bacterial small subunit ribosomal RNA", at positions 59 to 719 of the family's 1533-position model. The record is from RNAcentral. Lineage: Bacteria; Pseudomonadati; Pseudomonadota; Alphaproteobacteria; Sphingomonadales; Erythrobacteraceae.